RNAcentral lists this transfer RNA (69 nucleotides) under Dasyurus hallucatus (northern quoll). RNAcentral describes it as "tRNA-His". It matches the Rfam family "tRNA". From Rfam's summary of the family: Transfer RNA (tRNA) molecules are approximately 80 nucleotides in length. Their secondary structure includes four short double-helical elements and three loops (D, anti-codon, and T loops). Lineage: Eukaryota; Metazoa; Chordata; Mammalia; Dasyuromorphia; Dasyuridae. The record is from RNAcentral.
GCAAGCAUAGUUUAACAAAAACACUAGAUUGUGAAUCUAAAAUUAGAGGUUUGAACCCUCUUACAUGCC